This 180-nucleotide unclassified non-coding RNA is filed under the name uncultured Mortierellales. Its description in RNAcentral is "sequence contains ITS1". The record is from RNAcentral. Lineage: Eukaryota; Fungi; Mortierellomycota; Mortierellomycetes; Mortierellales.
AAAUAAAAGUGAUUUUAUGGCACUUUUAAAAAAAAUCCAUAUCCACCUUGUGUGCAAUGUAUGAGGAAAAAGAAAAGGAUUAAUCCUUUUUCUUCUUCCCUCUAUAUUAUAUCAACUCUUUGCUUUGAACCUGUUUGUCUGAAAUAAACUAUAUUCUUUGAAUAACUUAAUUCAAAAAUA